Molecule: unclassified non-coding RNA, 221 nt
Filed under: Hevea brasiliensis (rubber tree)
Lineage: Eukaryota; Viridiplantae; Streptophyta; Magnoliopsida; Malpighiales; Euphorbiaceae
Source: RNAcentral
AAAAAUUAAAAUAAUUUACUCUAAUUAAUAGCAAAAGCAAGCUCCUCUGAUUCUACAGAUGAUAACACAAAGAAAGUCUCCGCCCUUAUCCUCCUUAAUACUUCAAAUAAGAAUUUAAUGCCAAUCAGCCAUCAACCAACAAAAUGCAAAAAAUUUUCAAUCCUACCAAUUCAAUUACUUAAACUGCAUCCAAUUAGUUAAGUACAUAAUUAGUCAUUCAU